Molecule: ribosomal RNA, 253 nt
Filed under: uncultured bacterium
Lineage: Bacteria
Description: partial 16S ribosomal RNA
Rfam family: Bacterial small subunit ribosomal RNA
Source: RNAcentral
UACGAAGGGGGCUAGCGUUGUUCGGAAUCACUGGGCGUAAAGCGCACGUCGGCGGAUUUGUAAGUCAGGGGUGAAAUCCCGGGGCUCAACCUCGGAACUGCCUUUGAUACUGCGAGUCUCGAGUCCGGAAGAGGUGAGUGGAAUUCCUAGUGUAGAGGUGAAAUUCGUAGAUAUUAGGAAGAACACCAGUGGCGAAGGCGGCUCACUGGUCCGGUACUGACGCUGAGGUGCGAAAGCGUGGGGAGCAAACAGG